GAUGAACGCUGGCGGCGUGCCUAAUACAUGCAAGUCGAGCGAACAGACGAGGAGCUUGCUCCUCUGACGUUAGCGGCGGACGGGUGAGUAACACGUGGAUAACCUACCUAUAAGACUGGGAUAACUUCGGGAAACCGGAGCUAAUACCGGAUAAUAUAUUGAACCGCAUGGUUCAUUAGUGAAAGACGGUUUUGCUGUCACUUAUAGAUGGAUCCGCGCCGCAUUAGCUAGUUGGUAAGGUAACGGCUUACCAAGGCAACGAUGCGUAGCCGACCUGAGAGGGUGAUCGGCCACACUGGAACUGAGACACGGUCCAGACUCCUACGGGAGGCAGCAGUAGGGAAUCUUCCGCAGUGGGCGAAAGCCUGACGGAGCAACGCCGCGUGAGUGAUGAAGGUCUUCGGAUCGUAAAACUCUGUUAUUAGGGAAGAACAAAUGUGUAAGUAACUAUGCACGUCUUGACGGUACCUAAUCAGAAAGCCACGGCUAACUACGU
Molecule: ribosomal RNA, 496 nt
Filed under: uncultured bacterium
Lineage: Bacteria
Description: partial 16S ribosomal RNA
Rfam family: Bacterial small subunit ribosomal RNA
Source: RNAcentral